This is a non-coding RNA of Sus scrofa (pig), 913 nucleotides long. Lineage: Eukaryota; Metazoa; Chordata; Mammalia; Artiodactyla; Suidae. The record is from RefSeq and is a predicted model, not a curated record.
UUCCUUUUUUAAAAAAAUUACAGUUGAUUUAUAAUAUUAUACUAGCUUCAGGUGUACAGCAUAGUGAUUCAAUACUUUAAGAGAUUAUACUCUACUUAAAAUUAGGGUAAGUACUGACUAUAUUCCCUGUGCUGUACAAUACAGACUUGCUGCUUAUUUUAUUCACAGUAGUUUGUCCCUCUUAAUCCCCUACCCCUGUCUUGCCUCUCCUGGGACAUGCAUUCUUGAUGGGCAGGGGUGAGGAAUCUAUUUAAAAAUUAAACAAAUUAUUCCCAGGAAUGGCCAAUCAGAGGAGGUUCUGAGUGGGAGGUUUCUCCAGGCAGCUGAAUGCGGGGACUGAGGGGCUGCUGAGGGGGAGCUGGGGACAUGUGGGAGGCCGAGGGCUGUGGGGACGGCCCCUGGGGAGCAGCGAAGUAGAAGUUGGGGGCAGACCCUGGAGGAGAAAGCUCUGAUGGGUAAAUGUAGACGCAGCAGACAGACAGCGCUUCUUAGAGAAGGAAAUUUAAAACAGCAGCCCGACCAACCCUCCCGAGUCCCCUGGAGCAUGUCUGCCAGCAGAGUGACAGGACACCAUGCCGCGGAGAAGGAGAAGGUCAGAGCUCUGAAAGCGUGGGGAUCUGGGAACCACGGACAGGACACGUACCAGCUCUGUCGGCUUUGUAAGCCCAGUGUUUGGACUGAAUUAGUCUCAGAAUGUGAUGACCUGCACGGCGUGAGCUUAGCUCUUUAUUGAUACGCCUCCGAGAAAUUACGACAUUGUGUAAUGAGUGUUCGAGAAAUGGGGCCAUAAAGUACAUCAAUAAACCACUGCGUUUGUAUCCCACGGGGGGCAGAGUUGCUCUAUUUUUUAAGGCGGUUUGAAUGUCUGUCAUUUGCAACUGAAAGGCCACGCUAAUAAAGUCGUUAACACCUG